Long non-coding RNA from Salvia splendens (bonfire salvia), 491 nucleotides. RefSeq lists it as uncharacterized. Lineage: Eukaryota; Viridiplantae; Streptophyta; Magnoliopsida; Lamiales; Lamiaceae. The transcript is spliced from 3 exons. The record is from RefSeq and is a predicted model, not a curated record.
AGCUCUUGGACAACACUUCUCAUAAAUUAUGGAAUUAUUCAUGUAAAACUAUGCACCCUCUUUGCCUAUAAAUACUCCACUACCUCCAUUCAUCUUUCUCAAAUCUCCAACAUGUUCAUAUCAUCAAAGAAGAGAGCAAGUGAGAUUCAAAUAGUGAGUUCAAGGAACAAGAGGAUCAAGCUCUCUCACAUAUCACCCUUUAUUCCACUCUUCAUCAAAGGAAUUUUCGAGGAGUUUAAUUUAUUGAAGUGGAUCUUUGCUCAGAGACUUUUUUUGGAAGCAUCGAGGUUGAGCCGUGGAUGAAGUGGUGCUGAGUGAGAUUGGUGAUUUCCGUAUCUUUUUAGGACCCUCGAAGACAUAUGUCUCCAUACAUAUUGCCGCGUUCAAACCUUCUUCCACUGUGCAUUUUAUCUUUGUCUUGUGAUAGACUUAUUGGUGAGAAUUAUGAUAGGAAUGUGAAGUACUAGUUAAUGAAAUCUUUUUCGAGUCUG